This 466-nucleotide ribosomal RNA is filed under the name uncultured bacterium. RNAcentral describes it as "bacterial SSU rRNA". It matches the Rfam family "Bacterial small subunit ribosomal RNA", at positions 335 to 798 of the family's 1533-position model. The record is from RNAcentral.
ACUCCUACGGGAGGCAGCAGUGAGGAAUAUUGGUCAAUGGACGCAAGUCUGAACCAGCCAUGCCGCGUGCAGGAUGACGGCCCUACGGGUUGUAAACUGCUUUUAUACGGGAAUAAUGUGUCCUACGUGUAGGAUUUUGAAGGUACCGUACGAAUAAGGAUCGGCUAACUCCGUGCCAGCAGCCGCGGUAAUACGGAGGAUCCAAGCGUUAUCCGGAUUCAUUGGGUUUAAAGGUCCGUAGGCGGGUCUUUAAGUCAGAGGUGAAAGCCUGCAGCUCAACUGUGGAACUGCCUUUGAUACUGGAGAUCUUGAGUGUGCGUGAAGUAGGCGGAAUAAGUCAUGUAGCGGUGAAAUGCAUAGAUAUGACUUAGAACACCGAUUGCGAAGGCAGCUUACUAAAGCACUACUGACGCUGAGGGGACGAAAGCGUGGGGAGCGAACAGGAUUAGAUACCCUGGUAGGCUCU